GGUCAGGGAUGAGCGCUGGCCUGUCUUAUCUGAUCUGGAGUUGAUGUCUGUCUCAGCUUUAGCUCUAGAAUUACUCUGAGACCCG
Molecule: small nucleolar RNA, 85 nt
Organism: Athene cunicularia (burrowing owl)
Lineage: Eukaryota; Metazoa; Chordata; Aves; Strigiformes; Strigidae
Product: small nucleolar RNA SNORD45
Source: Ensembl